AGAGUUUGAUCCUGGCUCAGGACGAACGCUGGCGGCGUGCCUAAUACAUGCAAGUAGAACGCUGAAGAGAGGAGCUUGCUCUUCUUGGAUGAGUUGCGAACGGGUGAGUAACGCGUAGGUAACCUGCCUUGUAGCGGGGGAUAACUAUUGGAAACGAUAGCUAAUACCGCAUAACAAUAGGUGACACAUGUCAUUUAUUUGAAAGGGGCAAUUGCUCCACUACAAGAUGGACCUGCGUUGUAUUAGCUAGUAGGUGAGGUAACGGCUCACCUAGGCGACGAUACAUAGCCGACCUGAGAGGGUGAUCGGCCACACUGGGACUGAGACACGGCCCAGACUCCUACGGGAGGCAGCAGUAGGGAAUCUUCGGCAAUGGGGGCAACCCUGACCGAGCAACGCCGCGUGAGUGAAGAAGGUUUUCGGAUCGUAAAGCUCUGUUGUAAGUCAAGAACGAGUGUGAGAGUGGAAAGUUCACACUGUGACGGUAGCUUACCAGAAAGGGACGGCUAACUACGUGCCAGCAGCCGCGGUAAUACGUAGGUCCCGAGCGUUGUCCGGAUUUAUUGGGCGUAAAGCGAGCGCAGGCGGUUUGAUAAGUCUGAAGUUAAAGGCUGUGGCUCAACCAUAGUUCGCUUUGGAAACUGUCAAACUUGAGUGCAGAAGGGGAGAGUGGAAUUCCAUGUGUAGCGGUGAAAUGCGUAGAUAUAUGGAGGAACACCGGUGGCGAAAGCGGCUCUCUGGUCUGUAACUGACGCUGAGGCUCGAAAGCGUGGGGAGCGAACAGGAUUAGAUACCCUGGUAGUCCACGCCGUAAACGAUGAGUGCUAGGUGUUGGAUCCUUUCCGGGAUUCAGUGCCGCAGCUAACGCAUUAAGCACUCCGCCUGGGGAGUACGACCGCAAGGUUGAAACUCAAAGGAAUUGACGGGGGCCCGCACAAGCGGUGGAGCAUGUGGUUUAAUUCGAAGCAACGCGAAGAACCUUACCAGGUCUUGACAUCCCGAUGCUAUUUCUAGAGAUAGAAAGUUACUUCGGUACAUCGGUGACAGGUGGUGCAUGGUUGUCGUCAGCUCGUGUCGUGAGAUGUUGGGUUAAGUCCCGCAACGAGCGCAACCCCUAUUGUUAGUUGCCAUCAUUCAGUUGGGCACUCUAGCGAGACUGCCGGUAAUAAACCGGAGGAAGGUGGGGAUGACGUCAAAUCAUCAUGCCCCUUAUGACCUGGGCUACACACGUGCUACAAUGGUUGGUACAACGAGUUGCGAGUCGGUGACGGCAAGCUAAUCUCUUAAAGCCAAUCUCAGUUCGGAUUGUAGGCUGCAACUCGCCUACAUGAAGUCGGAAUCGCUAGUAAUCGCGGAUCAGCACGCCGCGGUGAAUACGUUCCCGGGCCUUGUACACACCGCCCGUCACACCACGAGAGUUUGUAACACCCGAAGUCGGUGAGGUAACCUUUUGGAGCCAGCCGCCUAAGGUGGGAUAGAUGAUUGGGGUGAAGUCGUAACAAGGUAGCCGUAUCGGAAGGUGCGGCUG
This 1528-nucleotide ribosomal RNA is filed under the name Streptococcus thermophilus. RNAcentral describes it as "bacterial SSU rRNA". It matches the Rfam family "Bacterial small subunit ribosomal RNA". RNAcentral also lists the same sequence under 3 other names. Lineage: Bacteria; Bacillati; Bacillota; Bacilli; Lactobacillales; Streptococcaceae. The record is from RNAcentral.